This 393-nucleotide ribosomal RNA is filed under the name uncultured bacterium. Its description in RNAcentral is "partial 16S ribosomal RNA". It matches the Rfam family "Bacterial small subunit ribosomal RNA", at positions 523 to 918 of the family's 1533-position model. The record is from RNAcentral.
AUACGGAGGAUGCGAGCGUUAUCCGGAUUUAUUGGGUUUAAAGGGAGCGUAGGUGGGAUAUUAAGUCAGCUGUGAAAGUUUGGGGCUCAACCUUAAAAUUGCAGUUGAUACUGGUUUCCUUGAGUACGGUACAGGUGGGCGGAAUUCGUGGUGUAGCGGUGAAAUGCUUAGAUAUCACGAAGAACUCCGAUCGCGAAGGCAGCUCACCGGGCCGGAACUGACACUGAUGCUCGAAAGUGCGGGUAUCAAACAGGAUUAGAUACCCUGGUAGUCCACACAGUAAACGAUGAAUACUCGCUGUUUGCGAUACACGGUAAGCGGCCAAGCGAAAGCGUUAAGUAUUCCACCUGGGGAGUACGCCGGCAACGGUGAAACUCAAAUGAAUUGACGGGG